UUAAAGUUGUUGCAGUUAAAAAGCUCGUAGUUGAACCUUGGGCCUGGCUGGCCGGUCCGCCUCACCGCGUGCACUGGUCCGGCCGGGUCUUUCCUUCUGGGGAGCCGCAUGCCCUUCACUGGGUGUGUCGGGGAACCAGGACUUUUACUUUGAAAAAAUUAGAGUGUUCAAAGCAGGCCUAUGCUCGAAUACAUUAGCAUGGAAUAAUA
RNAcentral lists this ribosomal RNA (209 nucleotides) under uncultured eukaryote. Its description in RNAcentral is "partial 18S ribosomal RNA". It matches the Rfam family "Eukaryotic small subunit ribosomal RNA", at positions 604 to 819 of the family's 1831-position model. The record is from RNAcentral.